Molecule: ribosomal RNA, 447 nt
Filed under: uncultured bacterium
Lineage: Bacteria
Description: SSU rRNA
Rfam family: Bacterial small subunit ribosomal RNA
Source: RNAcentral
AGAGCGAACGCUGGCGGCAGGCUUAACACAUGCAAGUCGAGCGGGCGUAGCAAUGCGUCAGCGGCAGACGGGUGAGUAACGCGUGGGAACGUACCUUUUGGUUCGGAACAACCCAGGGAAACUUGGGCUAAUACCGGAUAAGCCCUUACGGGGAAAGAUUCAUUGCCGAAGGAACGGCCCGCGUCCGAUUAGCUUGUUGGUGAGGUAAUGGCUCACCAAGGCGACGAUCGGUAGCUGGUCUAAGAGGAUGAUCAGCCUCACUGGGACUGAGACACGGCCCAGACUCCUACGGGAGGCAGCAGUGGGGAAUAUUGGACAAUGGGCGCAAGCCUGAUCCAGCCAUGCCGCGUGGGUGAUGAAGGCCCUAGGGUUGUAAAGCCCUUUCGGCGGGGAAGAUAAUGACGGUACCGCAGAAGAAGCCCCGGCUAACUUCGUGCCAGCAGCCGC